AGAAGCACACAAGAAGUGUGUCCCCCCCACUCCUUAAGAUUGUUUGCCAGCAAUAUGGCUAGCUGCUGCCACCUUCCUGGUGGACUUCCUUCUUCGCUUUAGCAACCACGUACCUUGCUCUACAGCCCCACUGUUGGGUCUUAUUGUGUCCACAGGCAACUUGGAGAUGGAACAGCCACAGCUGGCAGAUGUGCUGAAAGCAUUCUUCUUCACGUAGCCAAGACUUCUGCCUCUCCAGAGUCUCUGAUCUGCAGCACUUAAGGAACAAACAAUGACCACAACAUGUUCCUUUUGCUGCGCAUUUCAGUGCUGUGCCGGACCCUUUGCCGUGCCUUCGAGCCCAGCUCCCAAAUGCAGUCAGAUGCUCGGAGUCAGGAGUCAGUGCUUAGCUUGCAACUUGUGAGCUCGAGGCACAGACCUGUCAGACGAUUACCAGGCUUGGCUGAAGCAUCCCCUCCCCCAAGCUGUGUUACCCCAGAAAAUGAGCAAAACAUCAAAACUGAACGUUGAGGGACAUCUCGUUCUGAUUCCGGUUUUGAGUUUGUUUGGUUUCUUAAAAGAGGGAUAUCCAUGGGCCAAAGCCAUUCCCCUCUCCCCAAAGAACCUUCAGGGAGAUGGAGGAACAAUUAUGGACAUGCCAGGGGAUCAUUUCAUACUGCAUUAAAUUCACAGCCACCAAGUCGUCUCCUUCAGUGGAACAGACCCAGUGACUGGUGGCUGCCUUUAAAUGCACAAUUUCCCCACCGACCUAUAAAAGUCAAGAUCCGACUGUUACCCCUUUUAGCUUUAGUCUUUGGUUCCGGCAAAGUGACCCAUAUGAUUCCAAUUCUCCUCUGCUCUUAUAUGGUGGUGGAUGAAGUCAUGGGUCGUGGACUUGUCCGGAUUUAUUGUGGGAGGCAAAGUGGUAUUCAGACCUCGCUUCUGGCAAUUGAAGCAGGUAGCAGAGCACAUGAAUACACAGCAAACACAGGGCAGACGCAGAAAGAUCGGCUGAUCCUUAAAACAUGCCACGGGCUUCUGGGAAAUGCAAGCAACAAGACAGUAGCAAGCAUAUUUCUGAUUAAUUUGUACAACUUGGACGGGACACACCGCCUGCAGAAAAACCGACCAUUCCACAGAAGCAUAAAUCUACGUAAUGGCCUCUCUCUCUGAGGAGUGAAGUACAGACUCAUGGUUGGCACAGAAGGGCUGGCAGACCAUUU
Long non-coding RNA from Pogona vitticeps (central bearded dragon), 1202 nucleotides. The record is from Ensembl. Lineage: Eukaryota; Metazoa; Chordata; Lepidosauria; Squamata; Agamidae.